RNAcentral lists this ribosomal RNA (887 nucleotides) under uncultured bacterium. RNAcentral's name for it is "bacterial SSU rRNA". It matches the Rfam family "Bacterial small subunit ribosomal RNA", at positions 8 to 912 of the family's 1533-position model. The record is from RNAcentral.
AGAGUUUGAUCCUGGCUCAGGAUGAACGUGGCGGCGUGCCUAAUACAUGCAAGUCGAACGAAGGUUGUAGCAAUACAUCCUUAGUGGCGAACGGGUGAGUAACGCGUUGGUGACCUGCCCCGAAGUGUGGGAUAACAGUUCGAAAGGAUUGCUAAUACCUCAUGUUUUCAUUUGGAUUAGAUGCCAGAUGAACAAAGACGUAAGUCGCUUCGGGAGGGGCCUGCGUCCCAUCAGCUAGUUGGUAGGGUAAUGGCCUACCAAGGCGAUGACGGGUAGGGGACCUGAGAGGGUGGCCCCCCACAAUGGAACUGAAACACGGUCCAUACACCUACGGGUGGCAGCAGUAGGGAAUAUUGGUUAAUGUGCGAAAGCGCGAACCAGCAACGCCGCGUGCACGAUGAAGGCCUUCGGGUUGUAAAGUGCUUUUUGAGGGGAUGAGGAAGGACAGUACCCUCAGAAUAAGUCUCGGCUAACUACGUGCCAGCAGCCGCGGUAACACGUAGGAGACGAGCGUUAUCCGGAUUUACUGGGCGUAAAGCGCGUGCAGGCGGUUCAGCAAGUUGGAUGUGAAAGCUCCUGGCUUAACUGGGAGAGGUCGUUCAAAACUACUGAACUUGAGAGUGGUAGAGGGAGGUGGAAUUCCGGGUGUAGUGGUGAAAUGCGUAGAUAUCCGGAGGAACACCAGUGGCGAAAGCGGCCUCCUGGACCAUUUCUGACGCUCAGACGCGAAAGCUAGGGUAGCGAACGGGAUUAGAGACCCCGGUAGUCCUAGCUGUAAACGAUGUAGACUUGGCGUUGGUGGGGUUAAAUCCAUCAGUGCCGAAGCAAACGCGAUAAGUCUACCGCCUGGGGACUACGGGCCGCAAGGUUAAAACUCAAAGGAAUUG